Long non-coding RNA from Trichosurus vulpecula (common brushtail), 1269 nucleotides. RefSeq lists it as uncharacterized. The record is from RefSeq and is a predicted model, not a curated record. The transcript has 2 exons. NCBI's taxonomy places the organism in Eukaryota, Metazoa, Chordata, Mammalia, Diprotodontia, Phalangeridae.
GUUGGUUGGUUGGUUGGCUAGCUGGCUGCCUGGUUGGUUGGUUGGCUGGCUGGCUGGUUGGUGGGUUUGCAGGCCUUUCUGUUUGCAGGAAGAGGGGAGGCUAGGAGUCCAGGACCUGAAAACCCCUGGUUCUAACACGGUUAACUGAAAGCAUGAGGUAUUGUGAAAGAGGAACCUUUUUUGGGAUAGAGCAGUAAUCACAUUAAGUAAAAAAACUGAUCACAUAAAAAAAAUCUACAAAAAAAAUUGUCAAUAAUAUAAUUUUCUAUGAGAAAAUUAAAAACUUAUGACACGGCAGUUAAUGACAUUGUGUAAAAAACUGAUCCACAAUAUAUAGCAGCAAAACAACACGACAAAGAGACAGGAAGCGAUGCUGGCUGGCUUUUUUUUUUCCUUUUCCAAACCAUGCUGGGAAUUCAUCCAUAGCAGCUCAAUAAAAAUGGAGUAUCCCCCACUCCACUCCUGUUACUUUUACAAUCACCCCCUUCACCGAACGGCAGCUCCCCCCAUGCAUCCAUCCAUCCGUCCAUCCAUCUGUCCAACUACCCACCACAUCCUCCUCCUCCUCCUCCUCCAACGUCAUCUUUGUCUCCUUCCACCCCUCCCUCCAUCCACCCCCUCCCUUCAUCUACUUACUUCCUAAAGAAUAACACAACAUGCGUCGCCCAGAUGUGCAAAUUUUCGGUCACUCCCCAAGGGAAGAAGAAAGACGCAGACGCCAGCCCCCCUCCCUGGGUUCUCCAGCUCUGGUGCGUGGUUUCCAAUGGCCAGGCAGAGCACUUGGGGAAAGAAGACCCCUCCUCCCAAGAGCUGCAUCUACACAGCGUUUGGUUUUUUGUUUCUGAUAACUUUCCUCCAAAGGACCGGUCUUUGACAAGCUGCGUUAAACUGCUACGUCAUAGAAUACAUGUCCUGGAUGAGUCUCGUGUGUGUGUGUGCGCGUAAGGUAAGAGAGAGAACUCUGGAACCGAGGCUUCCUCCACCCAGGAGAUCCUGAGGGACCCACAAGAAUUGGCCUGAAAUGAAGCGCUCUGUUAUGCUGAACCACUCAUGAGACGGAAGAAGAGAGACACCUAGGGAAGGAGCUAAGCCGUUCAGAGACAGGCCGUAAAGUGACUACAUGCAUUAGCUAGCGGGGGACAGAGAUGCUGGGGCCGCGGGCGGGCAGGGGGCCACGAUGCCUCCCUCGGAGAGCCCUAGGAGCUCUACGUCUACAAAAAGAAGAAAAACGCUAACCCUCUUCUACUUAUAAACGGCUGGUUUCACUUU